GCCUAACACAUGCAAGUCGAGCGGAAACGACUCAUCCGAACCUUCGGGGGACUAUAGCGGCGUCGAGCGGCGGACGGGUGAGUAAUGCCUAGGAAAUUGCCCUGAUGUGGGGGAUAACCAUUGGAAACGAUGGCUAAUACCGCAUGAUGCCUACGGGCCAAAGAGGGGGACCUUCGGGCCUCUCGCGUCAGGAUAUGCCUAGGUGGGAUUAGCUAGUUGGUGAGGUAAUGGCUCACCAAGGCGACGAUCCCUAGCUGGUCUGAGAGGAUGAUCAGCCACACUGGAACUGAGACACGGUCCAGACUCCUACGGGAGGCAGCAGUGGGGAAUAUUGCACAAUGGGCGCAAGCCUGAUGCAGCCAUGCCGCGUGUGUGAAGAAGGCCUUCGGGUUGUAAAGCACUUUCAGUCGUGAGGAAGGGGGUGUCGUUAAUAGCGGCAUCUUUUGACGUUAGCGACAGAAGAAGCACCGGCUAACUCCGUGCCAGCAGCCGCGGUAAUACGGAGGGUGCGAGCGUUAAUCGGAAUUACUGGGCGUAAAGCGCAUGCAGGUGGUUCGUUAAGUCAGAUGUGAAAGCCCGGGGCUCAACCUCGGAAUAGCAUUUGAAACUGGUGAACUAGAGUACUGUAGAGGGGGGUAGAAUUUCAGGUGUAGCGGUGAAAUGCGUAGAGAUCUGAAGGAAUACCGGUGGCGAAGGCGGCCCCCUGGACAGAUACUGACACUCAGAUGCGAAAGCGUGGGGAGCAAACAGGAUUAGAUACCCUGGUAGUCCACGCCGUAAACGAUGUCUACUUGGAGGUUGUGGCCUUGAGCCGUGGCUUUCGGAGCUAACGCGUUAAGUAGACCGCCUGGGGAGUACGGUCGCAAGAUUAAAACUCAAAUGAAUUGACGGGGGCCCGCACAAGCGGUGGAGCAUGUGGUUUAAUUCGAUGCAACGCGAAGAACCUUACCUACUCUUGACAUCCAGAGAACCCUGCAGAGAUGCAAUGUGUGCCUUCGGGAACUCUGAGACAGGUGCUGCAUGGCUGUCGUCAGCUCGUGUUGUGAAAUGUUGGGUUAAGUCCCGCAACGAGCGCAACCCUUAUCCUUGUUUGCCAGCGAGUAAUGUCGGGAACUCCAGGGAGACUGCCGGUGAUAAACCGGAGGAAGGUGGGGACGACGUCAAGUCAUCAUGGCCCUUACGAGUAGGGCUACACACGUGCUACAAUGGCGCAUACAGAGGGCAGCCAGCUAGCGAUAGUGAGCGAAUCCCAAAAAGUGCGUCGUAGUCCGGAUUGGAGUCUGCAACUCGACUCCAUGAAGUCGGAAUCGCUAGUAAUCGUGAAUCAGAAUGCCACGGUGAAUACGUUCCCGGGCCUUGUACACACCGCCCGUCACACCAUGGGAGUGGGCUGCAAAAGAAGUGGUAGUUUAACCUUCCGGGGGACA
RNAcentral lists this ribosomal RNA (1427 nucleotides) under Vibrio ponsveterensis. Its description in RNAcentral is "16S ribosomal RNA". It matches the Rfam family "Bacterial small subunit ribosomal RNA". Lineage: Bacteria; Pseudomonadati; Pseudomonadota; Gammaproteobacteria; Vibrionales; Vibrionaceae. The record is from RNAcentral.